GAUGAAGAACGUAGCGAAAUGCGAUACGUAAUGUGAAUUGCAGAAUUCAGUGAAUCAUCGAGUCUUUGAACGCACAUUGCGCCCCCUGGUAUUCCGGGGGGCAUGCCUGUCCGAGCGUCAUUGCUGCCCUCAAGCACGGCUUGUGUGUUGGGCCUCCGUCCUCCUCCCGGGGGACGGGCCCGAAAGGCAGCGGCGGCACCGCGUCCGGUCCUCGAGCGUAUGGCGCUUCGUCACCCGCUCUUGUAGGCCCGGCCGGCGCUUGCCGACACAUCAAUCUUUUUUCCAGGUUGACCUCGGAUCAGGUAGGGAUACCCGCUGAACUUAAGCAUAUCAAUAAGCGGAGGA
Molecule: unclassified non-coding RNA, 345 nt
Filed under: soil metagenome
Description: partial contains 5.8S ribosomal RNA, internal transcribed spacer 2, and large subunit ribosomal RNA
Rfam family: 5.8S ribosomal RNA (bases 1-120)
Source: RNAcentral